Molecule: long non-coding RNA, 591 nt
Filed under: Equus asinus (donkey)
Lineage: Eukaryota; Metazoa; Chordata; Mammalia; Perissodactyla; Equidae
Description: lncRNA (ENSEASG00005025748.1)
Source: RNAcentral
CAACUGCCUCUCAUCUAGAAACAGUCCAGCAAUGGUUCCAACACCAAACUGCCCAACAAUAGGAGGGGAGAAAGGCCAUGGUCAUCACCAUGUGUGGCCUAAAUUACAGAAGAAAUUCAGUGGAAAGGAAAUGCCUACGUAAUUCCUUUACUCUGCUUCUACAGGGAAGAAAACGACCUGAAUGUAUCUUACGAAGACACCAACAAGCGCAAGUUACCACAUUGGCAGCUAUUUUCAUUUUUGUUCCCCAAAUCAAAAUGAAACAAUUGGUAACAAGAAAUUCAAAGUGCAGCAAAGAGGAUAACAAGAAGGUUUUUUUCUGAUGCACCUUUGACCUUUCUAAAAGUUAAUUAUUUUCUCUCAUUCAUAUACUUUUUUGUCUUAAGUUUCUCCCAUGAUUUUAUUCAGGAAAAAAUGAAAGACCUUCCUUGAGGGAGGGAGAUAAAGACUAGCCAAAGAGACGACUGACACCUUCACCAGAGACUGGAUUCCAGUCCAAGAAUUGGCACUCGGCAACCACAAAGUACACUCAAAGUCUAACAUGUCCAAUAGAGUGAAGGAAGAAAAAAAAGACAGAAGGAGCUGACUCCU